This 111-nucleotide transfer RNA is filed under the name Enterobacter hormaechei subsp. xiangfangensis. Its description in RNAcentral is "tRNA-OTHER". Lineage: Bacteria; Pseudomonadati; Pseudomonadota; Gammaproteobacteria; Enterobacterales; Enterobacteriaceae. The record is from RNAcentral.
UGGGGUGUAAACGCGUAAUGGAUGCGCGAUGUAUCGAGGUAGGGGUUCCGUCAUUUCGUCUUCCCUGAUACGCCGUAAGGUCUGCUGGUUCGAUUCCAGCCACUCCAGCCA